Mycena rebaudengoi is the source of this 95-nucleotide non-coding RNA. Lineage: Eukaryota; Fungi; Basidiomycota; Agaricomycetes; Agaricales; Mycenaceae. The record is from the annotation of a GenBank genome assembly.
GAUCCAGUGGUGUAAUGGUAGCACACUUGCAUUCAGUUGUAUGUGGAGUUCCUGGAAUUAUGCAAGAGACCUCUGUUCAACUCAGGGUUGGGUCA